Long non-coding RNA from Homo sapiens (human), 4972 nucleotides. RefSeq lists it as uncharacterized. The record is from RefSeq and is a predicted model, not a curated record. NCBI's taxonomy places the organism in Eukaryota, Metazoa, Chordata, Mammalia, Primates, Hominidae. The transcript is spliced from 4 exons.
GUCUGUAGCUGUGUCGCCGGCGGCUGCGGGGCCUCUGGGUUGCUUUCCCUCUCGCUCCCGAGUGCCGCGAGUUCCAGGCGGUCCCCGGGAUCGCCAGCGGCACAGGGCCCCAGCCCUUCGCCCGCGCAUCGGGAUGGGGGUCCUAGCCGGUGGGAGCUGCCUGUCCCUCGAGCGCCAGCUACCCGCGUUGUCCAGCGCUCCGGCCUCGGCCCGGCCCUCCUGCCUCCUGGCUGUUAGGUUCUGAAUGUUCCGGAAAUGCCACGUGACCGCGAGGGCGCUUGGGCUUGGGCUGGACAGGCCGGGGAUCUCACCGCGGCGGGCCCGGCUGUCCCGCUUGGGCGUCCUCAGUGGAACCGCACACCCUUUCUCAGCGCGCCGGUCGUUUGGUCCUGUAGGGCCGAGGGGAAUUCGUGCGGUGUUGAGCACGCGGGAAGCACUUAACGAAAGGGAGCUGCCCCUCAGCCCUCGUGAGUCCGAUGUAAAGGAGUGAAGGAGACGAAGAACUGAAUCAGUAGUUGACCGCCUGUGAGCUGGCGAGCUGUGCCCUGGUAGGGCCUUAAAUCCCAGCCCCAGAAGUCGGAGGCAGGGCAGGCACCCCAAAGCGUGGAAGAGAUGCACCUGCGGAGUGAAAAUGCUGCUAUUGCUUCUAGGGUCAGCCUUGGUUCCUGGAACAAAGGAGCCGCAUGACUCGGGUCUGGCGAUGAUGUUGGGCUCUGCAGUGUCCUCAUCCUUCCCCCUCUCUGGGUAAUGAUAUCUUCCCAGGGUUUAAAGUGUGUCCUCUCUGCCAGUAGCUUGUCUCCACAGCCUCAUCUUUAAUUCCACCUGCCCCACCCAUUUUGGACACUGCAGCCAAGUUGCAGCAGAUCCGCAAACCUGGUAAUCCCUCACUUGAAAGUGCUGGAGGCUUUAGGAUGGGGUUCAGGGCCUGUGCAAUCUAACCGCCUGCUUUUUUUUUUUUUUUUUUUUUUUUUUUUUUGAGACGGAGUCGAAUCUCACUGUCUCCCAGGCUGGAGUGCAGUGGCGCCAUCACAGCUCAUUGCAGCCUCAACCUCCUGAGCUCAAGCCAUCCUCCCACCUCAGCCUCCCAAGUACCUGGGGUUACAGGCAAGCACCAUUACGCCUAGCUAAUUUUUCUGGGUUUUUUUUUUUUGUUUUUUUUUUUGUAUAGAUGGAUUUCGCCAUGUUGUCCAGGCUGGUCUUAAACUCUCGCUCUGUCUCCCAGGCUAGAGUGCAGUGGGGCAAUCUCGGCUCCCUGCAACCUCUGCCUCCUGGGUUCAAGCAAUUAUCCUGCCUCAGCCUACCAGUUAGCUGGGAUUACAUGUGUGCGCCACCGCGCCCGGCUAAUUUUUUUAUUUUUAGUAGAGGCGGGGUUUCACCAUGUUGACCAGGCUGGUCUCAAGACUACUGACCUCAAGUGAUCCCCCCCCCCCCCCGCCUCGGCCUCCCAAAGUGCUGGGAUUACAGACGUGAGCCACCGUGCCCAGCGGUUUUGCAUUUUCAAUUGUGGGGCACGGUGAGAAAAGACUUGAAGAAAGCAAGGGAGUGAGAUCCAUGGAAAUGUAGGGGGGAACCUUGCAGGCCUAUGGAACAGCCAGUGCAAAGGGCCUGGGGUGGGAGCUGCCUCAGGGUAGCCAGGAUGGCAGGAGGCACAGCUGCCGAGAGGAAGCAGGGGCCAGGUCCUGCAAGGUUAGAGGCCAUUGCUACUCCUGAACACAUUGGCAGGUUUUGAGCAGAGAAGUGACAUGAUUUUAGUUUUCUCAGGAUCCCUCUGGCUGCUGUGUGGAGGAAGAGGGGAGGGUGAGAGCAGGGAUACCUCUUAGGAGGCUGUGGUAGUAAUCCCAGGGAGCCAGGAUGGGAGCAGAGGAGGGGACAGGAAUUGGAUUCUGGAUGCAUUUUGGAGGGAGCAUGAAGGAAAGCGGGGUCAAAGGUUCCUCUGAGGCCUUGGCUGCCUCUCUUAUUCAUCUACAUCCAUUCUGUCAAGGACACCUUUCAUUUCUUCUUGGCACUGUCUCAAGGCCACCACGCUGCUGCCCACCUGACCAGCAGUGGCCUUUCCAGGCCUUCCAUCUUCUCCCCAGCAGCUUAUCUCUGCGUAGCCAGGUCCCAUUUCCCACACACCUUUUUUUAAAGUGUGUUGCACUGCUCUGGGUGCAGGACUGUAGCAGUGACCAGGGCAGCUCCAGAUGAAGCUUCUGCUCACAGGAACCUUUUCUACUGAAACAGAUGAUACCUAAACUCUCAGCUGUGUGACUUUAAGCAACUUGCACAACCUCUCUGUACUUCAGUUGCCUCCAUCUUCAAAUGGGGAUUAAAAAGUGUUGACAUCAUAGUGGUUGUGAGGAUUACAUGAUUUGAUAGUUUAUAAAGCACUUAGAACUUGUGAAGAAGAGUGCCUGGGGAUUGCCUAAGGUCAGGAGUUCAAGACCAGCCUGGCCAACAUGGAGAAACCUCAUCUCUGCUAAAAAUACAAAAACUAACCACGCAUGGUAGUGCACACCUCUAGUCCCAGCUACUUGGGGGGCUGAGGCAGGAGAAUCACUUGAACCUGGGAGGUGGAGAUUGCAGUGAGCCAAGAUUGCGCCACUGCACUCCAGCCUGGGCAACAGAGCAAGACUCGGUCUCCAAAGAAAAAAAAAGAACUGCCUGGCUACGGAAUAAGAACUACAUGGAGUUAUUAAAUCAAAAUCGGUGCACAAAUGAUAAUUCUUAAGAGUGAGUGCUACAGAGAACACAAAAGGCAAGGCACAGAGAGAUGACCUGGGAGGCAGGGAAGGAAAGCAUUCCCAGAGAGUCUCUUUCUGUCACCCGGUCUGGAGUGAAGUGGCGCAGUCUCAGCUCUCUGCAACCUCUGCCUCCCAGGUUCAAGCAAUUCUUCUGCCUCAGCCUCCCAAGUAGCUGGGAUUACAGGAAUGUCUCCCGCAGGGACCCUACCCUGGUGGCACAGGACGUCUCACACAGCACUGUCUGGGACAGCAAAAGGGAUGGAAACCACCUGAGUCCAACUAUGGAGGACACUGGAAAACACGAUGCUGCCUCCAUAGGAUGGGAUAUUGGCAAGUGUGAAGAAACAACAUUUGGUUCUGGAGGCUGCAAGCCCAGGUUCAAGGCAUCAGCAGGUGUGGUUUCCUCCGAGGCCUCUCCCCGUGGCUUGCAGAUGGCUGCCUUCUUCCUGCAUCCUCACGUGGUCCCUCCUCUGCACUCCAGCAUCCUUAAUGUCUCUUUGUGUGUCCAACUUUCCGCCCCCCCCCACCCCUUUUUUUUCUGAUGGAGUCCACCCAGACUGGAGUACAGUGGCGUGAUCUCAGCUCACUGCAACCUCCACUUCCUGGGCUCAAGUGAUUCCCCCGCUUCAGCCUCCCGAGUAGCUGGGAUUACAGGCAUGUGCCACCAUGCCUGGCUAAUUUUUGUAUUUUUAAUAGAGAUGGGAUUUCACCAUAUUGGCCAGGCUGGUCUCAAACUCCUGACCUCAAGUGAUCCACCCAUCUCGGCCUCCCAAAGUGUUGAGAUUACAGGUGUGAGCCACUGCGCCCAGCCCCGAACUUUCCUCUUAAAAGGAUAUCAGUCAGGCCAGGCGCAGUGGCUCAUACCUGUAAUCCCUGCACUUUGGGAGGUUGAGGCGGGUGGAUUACUUGAGGUCAGGAGUUGGAGACCAGCCUGGCCAACAUGGUGAAAUCCCGUGUCUACUAAAAAUACAAAAAUUAGCCGGGCGUGGUGGCAGGCGCCUGUAGUCCCAGCCACUCGGGAGGCUGAGGCAGGAGAAUUGCUUGAACCUGGGAGGCAGAGGUUGCAGUCAGCUGAGAUCAUGCUACUGCACUCCAGUCUGGGCAACAGAGCAAGACUCUAUCUCAAAAAAAAAAAAGACACCAGUCAGACUGGAGUAGGGCUCACCCUAAUGGCCUGAUUUUAACUUAAUUACCUCUUUUUUUUUCUUUCUUUUUUUGAGACAGAGUCUCGCUCUGUCACCCAGGCUUGAGUGCAGUGGCGCGAUCUCAGCUCACUGCAACCUCUGUCUCCCGGGUUCAAGUGAUUCUCCAGCCUUAGCCUCCCAAGUAGCUGGAAUUACAGGCGUGUACCACCACACCAAGCUAAUUUUUGUAUUUUUUAGUAGAGACAGGGUUUCUUCAUGUUGGUCAGGCUGGUCUCAAACUCCUGACCUCAGGUGAUACACCUGCCUCGGCCUCCCAAAGUGAUGGGAUUAUAGGUGUGAGCCACUGCACCCAGCCUUAAUUACCCCUUUAAAGGCCCUAUAUGCAAAUACAGUCACAUUCUGAGCUACUGGGGGUUAGGGCUUCAACAUAGGAAUUCAGGCAGACAUGAUUCAGCCCAUAACAAGGGCUUUCACUUUUUUUUUUUUUGUAGAAACAGGGUCUCACUAUGUUGCCCAGGCUACUCUUGAACUCCUGGGUUCAAGUGAUUCUCCAGCCUCAGCCCCCAGAUUAGCUGGGGCUACAGGUGCACCAGCACGCCCAGCUAAUAUUUUUACUUUCAUUUUUUUUAGACGGAGUUUAGCUAUCUUUGCCCAGGCUAGAGUGCAAUAGCGUGAUCUUGGCUCACCACAACCUCUGCCUUCCGGGUUCAAGAAUUCUCCUGCCUCAGCCUCCCAAGUAGCUGGGAUUACAGGCAUGCACCACCAUGACCGGCUAAUUUUGUAUUUUUAGUAGAGACGGGGUUUCUCCAUGUUGGUCAGGCUGCUCUCGAACUCCCGACCUCAGAUGGUCUGCCCGCCUCAGCUUCCCAAGGUGCUGGGAUUACAGGCGUGAGCCACCGCGCCCGGCCAAUAUUUUUUGUGGAGUCAGGGUCCUACUAUGUUUCCCAGGCUGGUCUUGAACUUCCAGGCUCAAGCGAUCCUCCUGCCUUGGCCUCCUAAAGUACUGUGAUUCCAGGCCUGAGCCACAGCACCCUGCUGGCUUUCACUUUUUACUUUAUUUCUAUGUUGUUAAAAUCUAUUACAAUAAACAUUACUUUUAAAGGA